GGUUAGUAACACGUGGAUAACCUACCUAUAAGACUGGGAUAACUUCGGGAAACCGGAGCUAAUACCGGAUAAUAUAUUGAACCGCAUGGUUCAAUAGUGAAAGACGGCUUUGCUGUCACUUAUAGAUGGAUCCGCGCCGCAUUAGCUAGUUGGUAAGGUAACGGCUUACCAAGGCAACGAUGCGUAGCCGACCUGAGAGGGUGAUCGGCCACACUGGAACUGAGACACGGUCCAG
This 235-nucleotide ribosomal RNA is filed under the name uncultured Staphylococcus sp. Its description in RNAcentral is "partial 16S ribosomal RNA". It matches the Rfam family "Bacterial small subunit ribosomal RNA", at positions 105 to 334 of the family's 1533-position model. Lineage: Bacteria; Bacillati; Bacillota; Bacilli; Caryophanales; Staphylococcaceae. The record is from RNAcentral.